UUUUUUCAAAUCCCUAAUUUUUUCCUAGACCUCCCUUUCGGAUUUUUAGUCUACCGGGAUACCCAUUUUUGCAUAAGUAACCCUUUCAGGUUUGCAACUUAUCAGGCUCUUUUUUUUUUCAAGCGUAGUAUUUUUUGACUUCAUUCUCAUUCACAAGGGAUGAAAGAUCUUCACCGUCCAUAGUUGUAAGGAUUAAGGCUCCU
RNAcentral lists this long non-coding RNA (203 nucleotides) under Lathyrus oleraceus (garden pea). RNAcentral describes it as "Pisum sativum (pea) long non-coding RNA (PSAT_LNC024320)". Lineage: Eukaryota; Viridiplantae; Streptophyta; Magnoliopsida; Fabales; Fabaceae. The record is from RNAcentral.